RNAcentral lists this transfer RNA (77 nucleotides) under Photobacterium kishitanii. RNAcentral describes it as "tRNA-Met". It matches the Rfam family "tRNA". Rfam says of the family: Transfer RNA (tRNA) molecules are approximately 80 nucleotides in length. Their secondary structure includes four short double-helical elements and three loops (D, anti-codon, and T loops). The record is from RNAcentral. Lineage: Bacteria; Pseudomonadati; Pseudomonadota; Gammaproteobacteria; Vibrionales; Vibrionaceae.
GGCCCCUUAGCUCAGUUGGUUAGAGCAGGCGACUCAUAAUCGCUUGGUCCCCAGUUCAAGUCUGGGAGGGGCCACCA